RNAcentral lists this ribosomal RNA (253 nucleotides) under uncultured bacterium. Its description in RNAcentral is "partial 16S ribosomal RNA". It matches the Rfam family "Bacterial small subunit ribosomal RNA", at positions 524 to 776 of the family's 1533-position model. The record is from RNAcentral.
UACAGAGGUCUCAAGCGUUGUUCGGAUUCAUUGGGCGUAAAGGGUGCGUAGGCGGUGAGGUAAGUCGGAUGUGAAAUCCCGGGGCUUAACCCCGGAACUGCAUUCGAUACUGCCUUGCUUGAGCACUGGAGAGGAGACUGGAAUUUACGGUGUAGCAGUGAAAUGCGUAGAUAUCGUAAGGAAGACCAGUGGCGAAGGCGGCACUCUGGGCCGGAACUGACGCUGAGGAGCGAAAGCGUGGGGAGCAAACAGG